UUCAGCAGGGACAGUGAGGGACCCUCAGCCUACUCCUCCCCACGGAGCAGCACCCGCAUGUCCCCCACCCACACCCUGCCUGGUCUGCCACCCUCAGGUGGCUCUGGGAGGCUGGCACCAAUUUUGGGUGGUUGUUCCUGUAUCAUCGAGUACCCCUCAGGGUGGGCAGGGGUAGCUCGGUCUGUAACUCAGGAUGCAAGGGGAGGACCAGAAGCAUGAUCCAGGAGUGUCUGAACUGGCAACAGCUAUCAGCCUGGGGAGGAGAUGGCUGAGGUGAUGGGGUGAUGACAAGAUUCUGCACAGUUCAGUGAUGGUACCCAGAGAUGGCCACUGCCAGGGACCAGACAGUGGGCUAGAUGGAUCUCUGAUGUGCCCUGGCACAACUGAUAUUUUCUCCUCCUGUGAUGACCUUGUCCAUCUGCUAUAUCUGUGGUCUGUAACCUGCCCAUAGAAAUGAAGUUAGAAGGACAGAAAGUCUUGCUGUCCUAUAUUUAUAACAUAAAGGAGAUUGGGGUAAAAUUUUGGGGUUCCUCGGUAUGAGAAAAUACAAAUAUCAAUGUUGAGAGAAAUUAUAAGUAGCUAAGUGUUGCAAUGCAUAUGUUCUUCUGUAGUUGGUACUCAUGCAAAGAUGCCAACUCCAUUUCUGUCC
Molecule: long non-coding RNA, 649 nt
Organism: Tyto alba (common barn owl)
Lineage: Eukaryota; Metazoa; Chordata; Aves; Strigiformes; Tytonidae
Exons: 3
Source: RefSeq, a predicted model, not a curated record